Molecule: long non-coding RNA, 1509 nt
Organism: Ornithodoros turicata
Lineage: Eukaryota; Metazoa; Arthropoda; Arachnida; Ixodida; Argasidae
Exons: 3
Source: RefSeq, a predicted model, not a curated record
CGAGGAUGAAGAGUGGCUUUUGAAAGAAGCAAAGAAAGGAACCGCUGACGAGACUCAAGUACAAAUCCGCAUGGACGCAACAUUCUAAAGAAGAACUGCAGUUCUAGCGUCAUGUCCCCCCCAUCAACACAGUCAGACAGCAGUUUCCUUACCUCAUGACUUCUAUAAGGUUUCUCAAGGAGUAUGAGAGACUUCAGGGCGAGGAUCCGCUGCUCCACACAAAACCCGGUCUUCAGAAAAUUAGAGACGUUGCUGUUGCCGGAAAGAUAGUGUCCACCAGAGCUGCCACAGAUAAUAUGUGAAGUCCCUACACUUUCUGUCGGCGAAACACGUCGGAACCACGUCCUUGCAGUGUAUGCGGCGCAAAUAAUCUGCAACUGCGUGAGGGAUCCAAACGCUUGCGAUACCCUUUUUGUAAAAUAUGAUGUAAGUUGCCUGUUCCUUUUCUAGGGAUGGAAAUGGCAUAAUUGAACAAACUUUACUUGUUUACUGUUGAUUUUAUAUUGAACGUCUUAGUAUGAAUGACUGUAUUAGAGAUAUCAACAUUACGCCACUGUGAGUGAUGUAACACGACCGACACUGCAGGCUCAUCACACUAGUGUAUGAUAUGUUGCUGAUGUGUUGCUGGUGUAUUCAGCUCAUGCAUAUAGAUGUCUUUCAUUCGCUACAGAGUUUUAUGAGAAAACUCCAUGCAUGAUGUACCGAGGUGAAAUUCUUGCAACUGGUUUAUAGAGUCAGCUGAAAAAUUAUAAAAUAUGUUCUGACUGUAGCGUAGCUAUAUUUUACUUCACUAAGUGACUUCUCAGGUCGGGCUUAUAUUUUCUUUGAAGUUCAAAAUAAUUGCAUUGUAGCGACCCUAUUAGCACCAGUUUCAGAUUUUGCGCAUCAGCAUGCAUGCUGUUGCAUGUGGUAUGCUGUUCUCAAAUAUCCCUGAAAUGGUAAUGCCAAAGGUAAAAUGACUCUACAUCGUAGGGAUUAUGCAUAGUCUCAUCCCUGAUGCAUCACAUUCACUGUAUUCAUGUAAUUAAUUCAGACUGUGUCUGCAAAUGACUGCAUUUAUUUGAUCCUUUGGUACGAUGAUUCGGUACAAGGUGUUGGUCAAAUUAACAUAUUCCUAGCAAUGAUCUAAUUACCAGAAGAUACCUGUGGUUAGAUGCAGCAUUUCUAUUGAUGUCCCCAAUUUCUUCCUUCGUAUGUCACUCUAGUGGACAGGAUAUCGCAUACUCCCUCUGCUGCAUCAGAAGCAGUGUGCCCAGUUUCAGUAUCACUUGGAGAAUUUCGACAGUAAAAGAAAAAUUUUGCCUAUGUUCUGCACGAUCAGUUUUACCAGAACAAUCCUUAAUACAUUUUAAUAACUUGUACAAAUUAUGUUAAUGUUGAUUGUCCUAUAAGUAUUUGUUCCUUUAUAACUUUGCAGGGACUUACCAAGUAAGCAUAGUUUCGUAUACUGGGCUAAGAUAUAUAAGAACAGAUUGAUUUUAGAUCAUGCAGUACAAUAUUUAACUUGUA